AUCAGAGCAGAUGUGGCUCAAUGAAGCCACCCCACAGCUCAGGAUGAGUGAGGUGGUUACAGACAGCUUUGAAUAUGUGUAUGCUUGUGUGUCUGUUUGCAAUAUAGCCGAACAAACCUCCACUGCUGUUUGUGCUGCAGAACAGAUGACUUGGAAAAGGCUCUUGAAGUUCUGGGACUUCACCCUGACAUGUUCUGGAUUUGAACGUCCCCAAGUCUGGAGGCCGCCUGCUGCCUGGUGUGGGCUUAUCUCUGCAGGAGGCGAGCUGAAGUGCUCCGUACCAUUGCCAUGCCUUUUAAAUCGCCCCUUGUCACAAAAAGAAUUUAACCAUUUACAGAGCAGUGCCAGGAACAUCCAUCCGGGUGACUCUUCCACCUUGAAUUCAAGGAGGAGGUGAAGAGGAAAGCUGAAGUCUUUAAUCUGCCUGUGAACAAAAACAGCUUGUGGCGGAUGUGAAUGGCUGAGUAGCGAUAUGCAAGCUACCCUGAAAGUACACAGAAUGGUCAGCUUUGGCACAGCAGCGCCGUACUGGCUGAAGGAUGAUUCACAUAUCUGAAAAAUAAAAGGAGCUUCACCUCAAAUAGAACCAUUUUUUGUGCUUAUUGUUAUCAGUGUGAUUAAACCUCCCGCCCCUGUCUGAGGCUGCAGACUGGUGAACAUCAGCCAUUCUCAGAGACAGCAGAGCCAGAAUUACCUGUGGCUGCUGAGGGGAUCUGGGACAGUCUGGCUAAGGAGAGUGCAGUAUGCUUAACCUGCUGGCUGGGCUGAAACACAGAAUGGCUUCCACUGAAGAUGUAUAUGGAAUCAGAGAGCUAUUCCACACCUGUAAACUGGACAACCAUCGUGCAUUCAUCUCUCGAGCUGAUUUUCACGGCCUUUGGUACGUUCACAUCUACAAAUCUGGCCCUGGAUAUCUCAAAUUGUGAAACAAUUUACCAUGGAAAAGGCAGAAAGUCCUGACUCGUGGCAAUCCGAGCUUCAGACAAAGGUGGUUGGAGCACUGUGGUCAUAAACUCCAUCACAGAUUGGCUAUCAGCAGGAUGGAGGUAGGCAGAAUGGAUGGGAAGUUCCAGCUGCCAUACAGUGCAUGACCUGCUGCAGACCCAGCAGCUUGAUGAGUCCAAGGCUGGUGCUUCUCUUGCAAUAAGAAGAGUUCACUGAGGAAGGAAAAAAGAUGAAGAGAGGAAGCACAGGACUUACAGGACUUGGGCUUUGGCGUUCAGAGGAAUGAGUAGAACAAAUGGCUCCAAUGGGUGGCUGCAUAUGAAUUGAUACGGAGGAAGAAAGCCCUAAUUUGCUGCAUCAUUUGCCUUUUCAAGUCAUGACCAAUGGAGAUGUUUAAAAGUCAUGGCUCAGAGGUACCUGUGCUCCUGAGGUGCUGCACCUCCUGGACUGAGCUGCACUGGAUGGACUAGGAGUGGCCAUCUGCCUUUUUUACUUGCAAAAAUUGAAUCCCUUUGAGCAUAGUCAAACUCUUCUUUUUUAAUCUCUUCAUCUGCAUUAGUUUCUUGAGUUCCAUCCUUGAUCAUUAGGUUUGUGCAGUGUUCAUGGUGCUUGCAACACAACCAUCUGCACUGCUAGUGAUUGAUAUCUGAUGGUCAGAAUAAAUUCUCUGUAUCUGUUAGGCUUCUGCAAGUGAGUGAGGGCCUCUGGAUCUCCAUGAAUGUGCACAAAUAUGAAUCUGAAGCAUCACCAUCCCUGAAUAGGAGUACGGACUCAAUGAUCCUUAUGGGUCCCUUCCAACUUGGGAUUUUCCAUGAUUCUGUGAUUUUAUGAGUUCAGUUGAACAAGUCAAUGUAAUUAAGCAAAAGCUUCUCCUUACAAACCUCAGUGCUGAUUGCAUUCAGCUGAGAUGCAAAACAUCCAUUGACUUUAAUCCAAGCUUUGGCCCAGGUGAGGAGCAAAGCUCAUAGAUUUUCCUCACAUUGAAGUGUUAAAGUUGAGAAGGACUGGGGUGUCUGGUACCCACUGGGAUUGCUUGGUAAGAAUGGUGUUGCUUUCCCUUCCCUUCCCUUCCAGUCCUGCUGAGUGUGAUUAAAGACAGGUCAGGAAGGGCUGCCUGCUAAUAAUUCUAUAGAGGAAAUCUCUUGCAUUAUUCAUCAGACAUAUAUGGCCUAUUCUAGGAAGAGAGAAAAUAGAGAAGCACCUUUGGUUGUAUUGUAACAUCUGCGAGUACAGCUGGUUCUUUUUCUGUGUUCCACUUAUUAUGAGCAAUUUGUAUGUUUUCUUCUCCAUCUUCAGUUAAAAAAAAAAAAGAAAGAGAAAAUUCUCUAAAGAGAAGGAACUUGCAAAGCUUGUUAUUACCAGGGCAAAACUCCCACUCCUCCUGUAGAGAUGGGAACUGCCAAGCUCUUGUUCAGCCUUGGCUGUAAUACCUACUAUCAUUUCUCAGCCUUCACGUAAUCAGGUAAUUUAAUAUAAUUCCUCUACUUUCAAUCAAGCCUGGUGAGCAGAUGUCAGGAUUCAACCCCUGGGUUUUGUCUGCUGCCGCAGCCUGGUUCCAGUGCUCACGGCAGAGCCCAGCUCUGCUCACCCUGCUGCUCUGGGUGGGAUGGGGGCCCGGGGCUGUACAGCUCCACCUGGAUAGGAAUGGAGAUAAGCACCUUCCUCCUUAAAGGAUGGAAGCAAAAAGGUUGGCAGUGUUCUACGAGCAGUGUGUGAGCAGUUGCUGUUUCACAGCCGCAGUAUUGCCAUGCUGUGUCUCAGCUGAUGAGAAAGAUAUGGAAAGAGAACAGAUGUUGAGAACAGAUAAAUAGGAAUGAAGGAGAACAGAUGUUGGGAUUUUGUAUGAGAUUUGUUCUGUCUUGAUUCAUAAGUUUGGCCAGCAUAUGCAAUGACCACAUAUCUCCUGUCUCUGAGUAACAACACUGACCCUACUGAAGAUGUGAGGCUUAACCCACAAAUAUCCACAGAGUGUUUUUGAUGAAAAUAGCAAGAAAAUGUUUAUUUUUGCUAUUAGGCAAGAUUUUAGAAUCCCUUCCCAGGCAGCUGCUCCAGAAAUAACACUUUGUUUUUGAAACAUAGAAAGCCUUGUGUGUGCUCCUAUAUAUGUCAGAACCAGGUUCUCAUGGGAAGCUGAGUCCAUCAGCAUCCUUUAGGAUCUGAGACCAGCACCACUGCUGCUGCAGAACUGAGUCCUAAACAACAGCAACAGGGAAGGAGAUGAGCAUGUUUCUGAGUUGCUUUUGUUCUGUGUGUUCAUGUCCCAAGGGAUGGUCCAGCUGCUCCCUGGUGCCCGAUAUUGUGCUUAGAGGACUGGCCAUGACCGAGGCUUGCUCUAACACUUCCCUUCCCUCUCUCCUCAAGGCAAGGAGAUGAGCGAUUGAUUCUCAGCUCUGAUAGCCAUUGUCUCCUCCUGCAGGUUCGUGAAGUGCAACAUGGGCUCAAGCUUGUCUGAACCUUGAUGAUAAGCUCUCCUUGUUAAAAGCUAUUAUAUUUGUUACUAGCUGAGUAUAAUUCUGCCUGACUACCGCAGUUCUCCUCUGCAUGUAAUUGAAUUCAUAUUCAUCAUAAAGCAAUGAAAAAUAAA
Molecule: non-coding RNA, 3529 nt
Organism: Coturnix japonica (Japanese quail)
Lineage: Eukaryota; Metazoa; Chordata; Aves; Galliformes; Phasianidae
Source: RefSeq, a predicted model, not a curated record